GCGGCAGUGUGACAUGGUGGCCAUCAAUCAUCAGAUGUCCGUCUAUAAAUACACCUGCUUGGAACUUCCUCUUUCUCUUCCUCCCUCUCGGAGUCGGCAGACACGUGCGUGUUGGCCUGCCGCGUGAGCUUGUACGGCACAGAGUGGUGUUGGGUUUUGCCACGAGCAGCGUGGUGUGACAGGGAGCUGGGCUACCUCAGGUGUUCCUUGUGGGCGUGGUGCACUUCCUGCGACCUCCGGUACUCUCUGCUCAUAAAACUUUGAUACUGCGUGGAAGCACCGUGUCAAGAUCUGAAAAUGAGCAUUUCGCUUCGGACCACAUAUUAGAGAAGGU
This is a long non-coding RNA of Hippocampus zosterae (dwarf seahorse), 334 nucleotides long. RefSeq lists it as uncharacterized. Lineage: Eukaryota; Metazoa; Chordata; Actinopteri; Syngnathiformes; Syngnathidae. The record is from RefSeq and is a predicted model, not a curated record. The transcript is spliced from 3 exons.